CCCCGUCUUCCCUGACGGGUAGCCUACCGGAACCGGCGUGGCUGUCAACGGCCGGGUCGGAAGCUUCCGGAACAACGUACCCUCCCGAAAAUGGGCUUUUCAGUCCGUGAGGAUCGAACAGGACCUGCCAGCAUCAGGCGGAUCGGGGG
Leptospirillum ferrooxidans C2-3 is the source of this 149-nucleotide non-coding RNA. Lineage: Bacteria; Pseudomonadati; Nitrospirota; Nitrospiria; Nitrospirales; Nitrospiraceae. The record is from Rfam.